RNAcentral lists this ribosomal RNA (460 nucleotides) under uncultured bacterium. RNAcentral's name for it is "partial 16S ribosomal RNA". It matches the Rfam family "Bacterial small subunit ribosomal RNA", at positions 338 to 795 of the family's 1533-position model. The record is from RNAcentral.
CCUACGGGAGGCAGCAGUGAGGAAUAUUGGUCAAUGGACGAGAGUCUGAACCAGCCAAGUAGCGUGAAGGAUGAAUGCCCUAUGGGUUGUAAACUUCUUUUAUAUGGGAAUAAAAUGUUCCACGUGUGGGAUUUUGUAUGUACCAUAUGAAUAAGGAUCGGCUAACUCCGUGCCAGCAGCCGCGGUAAUACGGAGGAUCCGAGCGUUAUACGGAUUUAGUGGGGUUAAAGGGAGCGUAGGUGGAUUGUUAAGUUAGUUGUGAAAGUUUGCGGCUCAACCGUAAAAUUGCAGUUGAAACUGGCAGUCUUGAGUACAGUAGAGGUGGGCGGAAUUCGUGGUGUAGCGGUGAAAUGCUUAGAUAUCACGAAGAACUCCGAUUGCGAAGGCAGCUCACUGGACCGCAACUGACACUGAGGCUCGAAAGUGUGGGUAUCAAACAGGAUUAGAUACCCCGGUAGUC